Molecule: ribosomal RNA, 954 nt
Filed under: Triticum aestivum (bread wheat)
Lineage: Eukaryota; Viridiplantae; Streptophyta; Magnoliopsida; Poales; Poaceae
Description: partial small subunit ribosomal RNA
Source: RNAcentral
AUGAAGAUUGCUCAGAGAAUGGUCAGCGACGGCUACACCCAGCGCAUGGUACGAGCAUUCCACAGCACAUCUCCCACCGAAACAGUUGGCCCGGACCUUGUGCUGAAGAAUUGGUUCGUCGAGCUCGACGUAGACUGGGUUCUCCAAUUACGGCUGCAGCUCCAGCUCCAAAAGGUGACUGCGUAUUGGCUACAAGAAUUGGUCCAGAGGUGGAUCCGAGCUCUCACCAUAAUUGUCGCCAGUAUCAAGGAAGUAAUGCUCGUCCAUGAGGCGCUGGCUGUCGCACGGUUUGGCAAAGCAAGUAUCUCAGCGAUGCUCGUCAUUGUCGACACCAUGCUCGAUGUUAUCCAGGAGGAUAAGUUACAGGUUGUCCUACACAUGUAUAUGUGUGUCUCCAGCGCAUCAUACAUGAUUAUGAUGAUGCCCGUUGUCUUUUUGGAAGCUCAACGCAUUCUCGAUGAGAUAAGCGCCUCAUUGAAGGCAGAAGAGAACAGGUUAGUUCAGGCAAUAUCCAGCACCAUGAUGGACAUCAGGACAGAUUAUUAUGAAAUCUCGUGGGAUAUCGAGAUUGAACGAAGCGGAGGCGGAAUUCACACAAAGAUUCGGUUCCUGGUGGAUUGCAUACUAUCAAUGAGGAAAACAUGUGCUUUGACGCUCAACUCUGCACAAAGCCAAUGCACCGUGAAGCUUCGUGACGCGAUAGAUGAAACAAUAGAUUAUCUGAAGGAUCAGCUUCUGAGUGAUUCAAGAAUGUCCUCCGAUCCAAGCCUCAGGUCUAUGUUCUUGCUCAACAACUCCAACUUUGUUGCGCAGCUUCUGGAAAUUAAACUUACAACAGAAUGCGAGAAGUACAAAGAUUUCUAUCUUCAUUUUUCUUGGGCACAUUUGUUGUCCUACAUACAGAAAUCAAAUUUCCUGGAAUUAUCGGUCAUUGGAUCAACACCUCUUCACUAG